UACGUAGGGGGCAAGCGUUGUCCGGAUUUAUUGGGCGUAAAGAGCGUGUAGGCGGUUUGGUAGGUCCGCUGUGAAAACUCGAGGCUCAACCUCGAGACGCCGAUGGAAACCGUCUGGCUAGAGUCCGGAAGAGGAGAGUGGAAUUCCUGGUGUAGCGGUGAAAUGCGCAGAUAUCAGGAAGAACACCCGUAGCUAAGGCGGCUCUCUAGUACGGUACUGACGCUGAGACGCGAAAGCGUGGGGAGCGAACAGG
Molecule: ribosomal RNA, 253 nt
Filed under: uncultured bacterium
Lineage: Bacteria
Description: partial 16S ribosomal RNA
Rfam family: Bacterial small subunit ribosomal RNA
Source: RNAcentral